RNAcentral lists this ribosomal RNA (242 nucleotides) under uncultured Lactobacillus sp. Its description in RNAcentral is "partial 16S ribosomal RNA". It matches the Rfam family "Bacterial small subunit ribosomal RNA", at positions 118 to 354 of the family's 1533-position model. The record is from RNAcentral. Lineage: Bacteria; Bacillati; Bacillota; Bacilli; Lactobacillales; Lactobacillaceae.
CCGGUUAGCCCAACGAGAUCGGGAUAACACCUGGAAACAGAUGCUAAUACCGGAUAACAACAGAUGAUGCCUAUCAACUGUUUAAAAGAUGGUUCUGCUAUCACUCUUGGAUGGACCUGCGGUGCAUUAGCUAGUUGGUAGGGUAACGGCCUACCAAGGCGAUGAUGCAUAGCCGAGUUGAGAGACUGAUCGGCCACAUUGGGACUGAGACACGGCCCAAACUCCUACGGGAGGCAGCAGGA